CAGUUUUACUUUACGGACGCGGCUAUUGUAUCGUCACAGUGAUCGUGAGAGCGCGCUUCAGGCGCUGGCGCUCCGUCCGCCUCUCGCUCGCUCGUCGGCUCGUCCGCCCGGUACCGCCGGUGGCGCUCCCCGCCGCACCCGCUCUAGGCCCGCCCGCUGCACCUCCGCCGGCCCGAGCGGCGCCGCCUGCGCCCCGGGAAGGAGCGGCGCGAGGCGAACCGCUGGCCGUUUAUGCCGCCGCUGCGCCGGCGGCGCACCCGCCGCCAGCACCGCCGCCCCCACGACGCCGGCCUGGUGGGCGUGCGCGAGGUGGUCGACCAGAUGAUGAGGCAGAUGCGGCCGACCCUGGCGCGGUUCGCCCCGGGCGGCGGGAUGACCAAGGGGAGGGGCUAACUGACGUUCCUUUGCUUAGAACCCUCUCACUACCCUCUCUUACCUGGGUUCGACAAUCCUCGUAGUAUAUUCCUAGGUUAAAGUUCGAAACCGGAGAAGGUGUUUAAGAGACAAGUAUUAGUCCUCCAGAUGACCUUUUAUCACGACUUCCUCGAAAGGUAGUUCAAACAUGCUCUUGGUUGUAGCUAAGAUCUACGCAGUCUAUUUAGUUUCUUCCCUCCUUAUACCAAGGGUCCACGUCACGAGUUGUAACGACUUACAACAGACGAUGGAACCGGAAGGGUCUCGUUCUGGCUACUAUCGUGUCGAUAACAGACCUCCCUACUCCCGAAACUGCUAAUGGGUCACUUGGCAUACAGCAACUUCCUCGAAGCGUGGGUUCACUACUGACAACGUUUACGGGAACUAUGGUACAAGGUUUUCCCGCUGGUAUAACGUUAUCUGUACGGGUACUGCACGUUACGCCAGUAACAAAUAAACCGUUAGUAGGAACCUCCGAAACAACACCACCCUUAUCGUCUGUCAAAACGUGGAGUCCUCUAACGCUGAGCGUACUCCCAGCGUUUUCGUUUCCGUUAGAAAUGAGUCCUAAAGUAUUAAUCCCCUCCCUUCUUUAAAGGUGAAAUAUCGGCACAGUACCUUCCCUGAAGUAGGUUUCGAUAACACUAGGGACGUUGACCUCUGGAAGAACCUCAAUGUGGUUCCUUACCACUGUAUAGGACCUUUCUAAAAGAAAGAGCAAGACGACCUUCCAGUAGCUAUAUGAGAGGUCAAAUAGUUAGACGUCUGCGGGAUUAAUUAUAUGACAAAAGUAGUCCUUGUUGACCCCUCGGUUUUCGAUAUGGUACCUGUGUUGAAACAGGGUAUUCUACACCUCGACUAUGGACCCCUGUAAACCUACAAGCGGGUUUCCUGUAUCCGACGACCGGAUGUUUAGACCCAACCCAAUACCCUGGAUAAGUUGAUAAGAGUAGGAAAGAUUUACCACGCUGCAACCGAAAUAUAGUACCAAGAGGAGAACCUGCACCGAAGACGUUUAAACAGGUCCUACGGGCACACUCACAUAAUCCCAGACACGGAUCGAACCACUUUAGUACCUUCCGACCAUUAGAAUGACUUCCCGAUCUGACCUGGUUUUAGUCCCAUGAACGGUGUUGUCCCCUCCGAAGACUAUAACUACUAUUAGACACCGAUAGAAGUGCAUGGACAAUGUUUGGGUAACAACUCACGACACCACCGUGUCUCGACCGUAGGAGUAUGUAAGUUCCCUCAGAAGACGUCGGUGUUCGAAAACCUCGAAAGUCACCACGUAGCUACAGGUGACCCAAACAGUAUGAGCUACUCGUCCCUUUAGGUAUAGGACUACUAGAUGGAACAAGACCUCUUCACCCGGAGAAGGGAAAUAUAAAACCACGAUGAUUAGCCGAAGAGUUACGACUGGUACUAUUCCAAAUGAAGCUACCUUACGGGUAAAUGUCUCCUGCCGUUGAGGCUGCUGUACCUCUAUAUUAGGUCUCCUGUCAUCCACCAAUGAUAUAGCACGUCCCGUCUCGUCUGCUAUGAUACUUAGAACCUCCCUAAUUCUGUUCAAGUCACCUCUAGCUUGCCCAAACAUUACCUCGGCUACUCCCAAACGAUCUUUGUCGUCGACAACCGUAGUUUGGAAGGCCGCCCCCUGGUCUUGUUGACCGAUAGAACCGUCACGAUUUUCUAUCUAGCCGUGGUAUGCUACGUUUAUAAGACUUCCCUUUCAAGGUCUGUCGGUAGGUCUUCUUGGAGUUAGGGGAAAAGUCCCACUCGAUGCAGUUUCAGCAGGGGCUCAAGGGCUCUUGACGAAGCUUGUUCGACGACUCUUCCCAGGACUCCCUAGUCGACUUCGUUCUUGAACGUUCAGCGUCGUUCGAUAUUACGUGGACUCCCGGUUAAUAGAGAAAAGUUGUUCUUUUACCGAGAAGUAUUAGGUUCAAAUAACUUGAUUACCACACAAUGUAUUCGCUACCAAGCUAAGGGAAAGUAAGUGAAGUAACUCCCACACAUCAAAGUAUUGUGAACAAUAACAUAACAUACACAAGUCGCGUAAUCUUCAUUAUUCCGCUACCGAACGAUUUUAGCCUGGUGAGACAUACAAACUUCCAAAAAUUCGGUAGUGUAAAAGAAUACAAAAGAGAAAUGUAGAAAUAUUUUGUUCUACUCGCCGUAAUACAUCACAGUCUAGUUUUGAGCCUAUACAAAUGAAAAACAAUGAGAACGUUUGAUUACUAAAAUAUUAGACUUGAAGAAAUCUGU
RNAcentral lists this ribosomal RNA (2679 nucleotides) under Triticum aestivum (bread wheat). RNAcentral's name for it is "partial small subunit ribosomal RNA". The record is from RNAcentral. Lineage: Eukaryota; Viridiplantae; Streptophyta; Magnoliopsida; Poales; Poaceae.